This 309-nucleotide small RNA is filed under the name Malus domestica (apple). RNAcentral describes it as "sRNA MD09G0038400". The stretch from base 1 to 101 matches the Rfam family "Small nucleolar RNA R64/Z200 family". Lineage: Eukaryota; Viridiplantae; Streptophyta; Magnoliopsida; Rosales; Rosaceae. The record is from RNAcentral.
UCUCUGCUGUGAUGAUUUCUGAAUUAAUUCACAUGUCAGACUUCAGAGAUUUAUUUAUUUUAAAUCAAUGAGAAUGAAAAUUCAAAUUAUCUGAGCAGAUCGCAUUCACAAAAAAAAUUGUUAAUUUAUGAUUUUUGCAUUUGUGAAUUUUUAAAUCAUAAUUUGUAUGUAUAAGUAUAAAAUUAUCGAUGAUGACAAAAUCGAAGGCUUGUUUCUCAAGAACAUUCGCAGUGGCCGCCUAAGAGCUUUCUCCUUUCGCCGGGCUUGAGAGCUUAUGCUGCUUUUAUCCUUCCUUGGAUGUCUGAGAUU